AAGAGCUUAUUGCACUUUGUAACCCCAUAUUUUGGCUCAUUAGCAAAUCAGACCCCAUACUUUGAAACGUGGUAGUUUGUAACCCUAAGUUUCGAUUAGCUUUCAGUUUGUAACUCUGGCCCACACAUCCGUUAAAAACAGCCGUUAACUUUAACUGUUUGAGAGGUAACAGUGUGUAUAUUAGUUUCUAACAGCUAUUUUACCCCCUGUGACCCCUCAAAGUUUAUGUAUUAUAUUUUGAAAUUAUUUUUGAACACACAAUGAUGUAAAAAAAUUUAAAUAAUUUUUAAAAAUAUGUGUUUAUUUUAAAAUAAGUCGCAU
RNAcentral lists this long non-coding RNA (321 nucleotides) under Daucus carota (carrot). Its description in RNAcentral is "long non-coding RNA (DCAR_LNC007495)". Lineage: Eukaryota; Viridiplantae; Streptophyta; Magnoliopsida; Apiales; Apiaceae. The record is from RNAcentral.